UUGCAGUGCUUUGCUCUUUGUUCUAUAGUUUCACAUGUAAUUAACAGUUCUUUCUUGCACUGCACUUGAUAUACCGGAUGCUCCACUCGCGUGGUGCGACCGUUCUCUUUGUGCCGUUGUUCUAAAAAGGAAUUACCUUCCACCCAAUUCCUGCAAAAUGGUCACCCACGCUUCCCUCUCAUGCCCGUGCGUGUUCUCACAUUGCUCUUCCUUGGAGCAGGAAAUGAAGUGAGCCCCGUAACAACUGUUUUGGCUUCUGUUGAACUCUUUAGUCUAAUGGGACCCUCGCCAACUGCGCCAAUGUGUUUGCAUUCCCAGAGACCCCCUUGGGAGAGCGACACCCCCACAUCUACCACCCCCAGCUUCCGGAGAAAAUGAUAGGGUCCAGCUGGAGCAGGAGCGUUUAGGCCUGUUCGCUAAUCUGCAGGUGAAACGGGGAUGUGCUGGCUGCUUGAUAAAGGCGCCCUUGAAGACAGGUUUGUCUGUGGGUUGAGCUCGGGUCAUGAACAAUUUGUGGCUCGUUGAUCCUACGGCUGGAUUUACGAUGUCUGAGUGACCGUCUUUGAUUUAGUGUCAACUUUUUUGAACAACACACUUGCGUUCACACUUACAGACAGUUUCGAGUCUUCAAUCAACAUGUGUGUUGCAGAUUUAUAAAACUAGCUAGAAUUAGAGCGAGUUAGCAAGUUUAGUUUCUUUUGAAAUGUAUUUAUUUUGGUAUUGCUGUAGGCUAUGUCUGUACACUCAAAGGAAGGUCAAGCAGUUGUUUACGAAGCGUAGUUCACUUUACUGAAUUACAACUUAGUAAAAUAUUGCACCCAAGAAAAAGAAAACAAAAGAAAACAACUAAUGGGUGCAAGGAAACAUUGAGUGUAUUAAUCUUAAAGCAGCCAGCAGGGCUGUGGAGGUUGUUCAACAAGAGACACAACACAAGUAUCACAAUGUUUAAAUAUAAAAAUAAAAUCAAAAACACACUGCUACUUGA
This is a long non-coding RNA of Syngnathus acus (greater pipefish), 985 nucleotides long. RefSeq lists it as uncharacterized. The record is from RefSeq and is a predicted model, not a curated record. NCBI's taxonomy places the organism in Eukaryota, Metazoa, Chordata, Actinopteri, Syngnathiformes, Syngnathidae. The transcript has 2 exons.